This 406-nucleotide ribosomal RNA is filed under the name uncultured bacterium. RNAcentral describes it as "partial 16S ribosomal RNA". It matches the Rfam family "Bacterial small subunit ribosomal RNA", at positions 28 to 526 of the family's 1533-position model. The record is from RNAcentral.
GAUGAACGCUAGCUACAGGCUUAACACAUGCAAGUCGAGGGACCGGCGCACGGGUGAGUAACACGUAUCCAACCUGCCCUUUACUCGGGGAUAGCCUUUCGAAAGAAAGAUUAAUACCCGAUAUAAAGGAUGGGGAUGCGUUAUAUUAGGUUGUUGGUGAGGUAACGGCUCACCAAGCCUUCGAUGGAUAGGGGUUCUGAGAGGAAGGUCCCCCAGAUUGGAACUGAGGCACAGACCAAACUCCGAGGGGAGGCAGCAGUGAGGAAGAUUGGUCAAUGAGCGCUAGCCUGAACCAGCCAAGUAGCGUGAAGGAGUAAGGCUUAUGGGUCGUAAACUUCUUUUAUAUAAGAAUAUGUAUUAUAUGAAUAAGGAUCGGCUAACUCCGUGCCAGCAGCCGCGGUAAUUC